AAAAAACAAAUUAAAACCUAGAAGCCAGAACACAAAUUGCAUCUCUAAAUAAAGAUGGCCUGACCCAUCAACAAUAGCAAAAAAAUUCAAAUCAAUAGAGCAAAAACUCAAAUAUGAGAAUGAAGAAGCAGGCUCAGAAAUAUAAAUAUGCAUCUGGAGUACACUGAAUUUAAAAAGAAAGUAUCUUAACAUUCCUAGAAACCUAAAUGGCUGAAAUAACACAAUUACACAGUACAAAAAUAAACCGAGUGCAUUAAUCCCAACAUAUAAUCUCAUAUAAACGAAAUUCAGAAUAAAGCAUCUAAAAUAAAGUACCUCUAGAUAAAAGCUAAACAGACCCAUCAAAUAGCAAACAAUAUCCAAAUCAACAUUGAAAAAAACCCAAAUCCUAAAUCAAGAAAAAAAGUCGUAAAACAAAUAUUGAUAUCAAAGUAUAAAUCUUUACAUAUACAUGUACUGCAAGCAUAUAUAUAACUUAAUAAAUGAAUAGAACUUGCUAAAAACAAAUAGAAACACACAUAAAAUAGCUUCACAAUUUCCUCAAGACACAAAUACAAUAAAAUUCACAUCAUUUUACAAACCAUGAGAGAGUUCCAAGGAUCGUCUACUUUAUAUGUCAGCUUUUGCAGCGUAAUUUAGUGAUCUCUCACAAAAAUCAUUAUCUUGGUGAGUUUCCAUAAUACGGGGAAUGUUCCUUAUGCUUCAAACUCAAGACUUUCACCUCUUCCUUAUGAACCUGUAGAGUUAUAUGGUGCUCCGAUUGAUAUUCCUCUUAAUUCGGCUGCGAAAAAUGGAAUUGCUUACUAAUUCACACACCCACUAAAUAAGAUAAAUAAAGUUAUUAGUAACUAUCCAUUAAGACAUUAAAAAAAUGGGGUAGCUAUUCAAGAAUAAAAUUAUAUACAAUAGAUAUAAUUUUGUAUAUGAUUGUCAGAGAAACAAUGCCUAACACAUUGAGGCUCUUGAUUAAGCUUCAAAGAUAAAGAUUAAAGACAAAGAUAGCAAAUUAAAGAGUUUGAAAUGCUUUGCUAUGUAGUUAUUGGUUAUCCAACUAAAAGAGAAAGGUAAACUUCUCUUUUCAUUGUGUUAUUUUAGCAAAUAUGUGAUACACACAACUUCUAAAUAAUAUGAAAUCAAACUUGGUAACCUACAAUUAACAAAUAAAAUUUUUAAUUAGAUAACUUUGUAUUAAUCAAACACACUAUGCCAAAAAAAGCUUUUGAAGCCAGUAACUCGUUGAUCAAUCAUUGGUCACUAUCCCUCAUCUUACUCUGUUUCAUUAAAAUCUUUGAAGUUUAUGAGGUGCCAUUAAGCUUCUUCAGUUCAAUCAAAAAUUCAUUAUUAUUCAAUUCAAUCAAAAAUUCAUUAGGCAACAUACAAUUCAAACUAUUCAUGAAAGUAAUUAUUAAUUAAAAAAUAAUAACUACCUUUUAUCAUACUCCAUUCAUUCUAACUAUAAAAUCAAUUACCUUUGGAAUGAGGUAAUAUAAAAGCAUCUAAAUCGUCAUCAAAUACAGUCUCUUUAUCAAGCUGACACAUCACAUUCUUUUGUUGAGAACUACCUACAAAGCUCAAUAAAACCAAAACCAUUAACAAAAACUUUUUGUGAGAAUCCAUCCAACUCUUUUGUUGUAACUGCCCACAAAAUUUCAACCUUUAAAAUAUUUCAUGAGCAUUUAUAAAAUAUAUUUGAUGCAACAUAUUGCAAAUGUAAAGUAUACAUAUAACUAUUGUGAUCAAACAUAUGGAAUGUAAAAAAUAAAAUGAGUCAAAUACAAAAAUACAUAAGAUAUGAGUCAAAUAAAAUACAGAAGAUAUGAGACUACCAAAUAUAAAUAGCAAAACCCUUGAUCAAUUUAAGCCAAUUUUGUUCAAUCUCGCUGAAUUAAUUACCGAGUUGGUCUAACCUUGUGUAUUUAGCACAAUAAAUAUAUAUAUUACAAACACCUACUCAAGAACAAAACUGAAGCCCAAGUAAAAUCAAAUGAAUGGUUAAAACCAUAAUGAAAGCUGUGACACUGUUGACUUUGACUUUUUUCUCCUAGCAAGUUGACAAAAAUCUGAUUUGACAUUGUGUUAGUAAGUUUGGAUGGAAACUUUGAAAGUGAGGCAAAGUGACCUUUCAAUUACUGAGGAAGAGAAAUUUGAAAGAGGGGGGUGAUAAUAGCUUUUGUUCAUGAGUUAAGGAGAGAAAGUGGGGGUUAUUUUCCACCCAUUUCUCUCAUGUUGAAAGAGAAACCAACAAAUAAGAGUUUUGGGAAUAAAACAAUUAACAUCCUCCAAAAUACUUUAUUUUCCACCCUUUUUAAAAAGCACAAAUACUUUGUGAGAUCAUAGAUGAACUUAUAGAACCUCAGAAGAUACAAAAAGGCCAUAAACAGAAGACAAUUAUAGAGCACAACUCCUUUUAUAAUUGCAAUAGAAUGCUUAAUAUAUCAAAUAAAAUAAAUAGUAAAAGCUCUAUCUUAGAAGGUCAAAUAACAUGACCAAGUUUCUAAAUGUUGUCAAAUUUGAGAAAAAAUACAUCAGAUUACUCCUAGUAAGAUUCUGGAUAUACUUACAAUUUGCCGACUCCUCAUCCUCAUCGCACCAUUUGUUCCAAUCAACCUCAAGGUAUGGAGCAAUAAAUCAUUCAAUACAUUCAGAACAGAUAAUCCAAAUAUGAGAACAGACCGAUUGUAAACCAAAUUUCAUUCAAUUGUUAUGUUCUUUAUGGAUUAAACAAUCGUUCAACAAAGGAAUUGCUUCAAAAAACUAAAUACAUACUUAACAAACAACAAAUAAUUUUAACAAAGUAAUCACCACAUCAACCAGAAUGAAUUCAUACGUGAUAACUCGAUCAAAUAAUCGAAGAGAUCUGAGAAAAUAACUUGAGAUCACCAAAUAACUACUGUUCAAUUACAAAAUAGUCCCAUCAUCAGCCAAACUUGAAGGAAUUCAUAAAAUACUACUGAAAACAAUCAGACAGAUGGGAAACAGUUUCAAAUCAUCAAAAUUGCUAGGGUUUCAGUACAUGUGGAUCAAUAACAUUCAACAUUGAUCAAAUCCACAAUUAUAUAAACGCAUAAGCACCACAUAAAUCGUAAAAGUGAAGAAAACAAAAGAAUGAUGAUCAUAUAUAUACCUUCGAACCAAUUAAGCAUUGUUAUAUGCGUUGGUUGUAGAAUAUUUGUGGAAGAAUCAUAAAUCGGUUUAGCUACAAAAAUCAACAAACUUUAAAGCUUCGAUUUGCAAAAUAUCAAAAUAGGUAUGAUUGUGACAUUUUAUCAAACACCUCAUGCACAAUAUCAAAAUCUAAGAGAAAGAAAUUUGUAAUAUGGGAAAAAUCCAAACUUACCAGUGAUAGUAUUUUUCUUUUUUUUGCAGUUUAAGUGAAAUCUCCCACCAGAGUUCUUGAUGCCCGUGAGCUCGGUAAAAAGCUAAUUUGAUCACCAAGAGAAAAAGCUAAUCGCGGGGAUUGAGGGGUUUCUUAGAAAUCAUCAAGAGAAAAAGUACAAAAAAAAAGAUGAAUCAAUUAGUAGUAUAAUGAAAGUUUAACCUGGUAUUCGGAAACAAAAUUCAUCAGCCUAAUUGGAGCCGGAAAUCCUUCAUCAGCCAUCAGACGGUGGUGAUCUGCGAUUCGGCGAGGAUUGAGACAAUUUCAUGUUGGGAGUUAAAAUCAAGUUCCUCUUCAUUCUCCUCCAAACUCAUUAGCGGGAAAGACAGGAAGAAAGGAAUAGAACGAGGAAGACGUGAGUUAAGCAAAAAUGGAAAAGGAAGAGGAAGAGCCGAACGAUUGCCGAGGAUGAUUAUGAGGAAGAGAAAGAGGAAGAGGUGAGAUGAGACGAACUCGCUAAAUAGCUCAGCAAUAAGAAUGAAAUUGAACUAAAUUGACUCAAAUUG
Molecule: long non-coding RNA, 3882 nt
Filed under: Panax ginseng (ginseng)
Lineage: Eukaryota; Viridiplantae; Streptophyta; Magnoliopsida; Apiales; Araliaceae
Description: long non-coding RNA (PGIN_LNC018216)
Source: RNAcentral